CCUACGGGUGGCAGCAGUGAGGAAUAUUGGUCAAUGGUCGCGAGCCUGAACCAGCCAAGCCGCGUGACGGAUGAAGGCCCUGCGUGUUGUAAACUUCUUUUGUCAAGGAAUAAAGACUGGCACGUGUCCCCUGUUGUAUGUACUUUAUGAAUAAGGAUCGGCUAACUCCGUGCCAGCAGCCGCGGUAAUACGGAGGAUCCGAGCGUUAUCCGGAUUUAUUGGGUUUAAAGGGUGCGUAGGCGGGUUUGUAAGUCAGUGGUGAAAGUUUGGGGCUUAACCCCAGAAUUGCAAUUGAUACUGGCAGUCGUGAGUAGAGGUGAGGUAUGCGGAAUGCGUGGUGUAGCGGUGAAAUGCUUAGAUAUCACGCAGAACCCCGAUUGCGAAGGCAGCUUACCAAACUGUGACUGACAUUGAGGCACGAAAGUGUGGGUAUCAAACAGGAUUAGAUACCCUGGUAGUC
This 460-nucleotide ribosomal RNA is filed under the name uncultured bacterium. RNAcentral's name for it is "partial 16S ribosomal RNA". It matches the Rfam family "Bacterial small subunit ribosomal RNA", at positions 338 to 795 of the family's 1533-position model. The record is from RNAcentral.